RNAcentral lists this ribosomal RNA (465 nucleotides) under uncultured bacterium. RNAcentral describes it as "bacterial SSU rRNA". It matches the Rfam family "Bacterial small subunit ribosomal RNA", at positions 338 to 795 of the family's 1533-position model. The record is from RNAcentral.
CCUACGGGUUGCAGCAGUGGGGAAUAUUGCACAAUGGGCGCAAGCCUGAUGCAGCCAUGCCGCGUGUAUGAAGAAGGCCUUCGGGUUGUAAAGUACUUUCAGCGGGGAGGAAGGCGAUAAGGUUAAUAACCUUGUCGAUUGACGUUACCCGCAGAAGAAGCACCGGCUAACUCCGUGCCAGCAGCCGCGGUAAUACGGAGGGUGUAAGCGUUAAUCGGAAUUAAUGGGCGUAAAGCGCGCGCAGGCGGUCUAUCAAGUCGGAUGUGAAAUCCCCGGGCUCAACCUGGGAACUGCAUUCGAAACUGGCAGGCUAGAGUCUUGUAGAGGGGGGUAGAAUUCCAGGUGUAGCGGUGAAAUGCGUAGAGAUCCGGAGGAAUACCGGUGGCGAAGGCGGCCCCCUGGACAAAGACUGACGCUCAGGUGCGAAAGCGUGGGGAGCAAACAGGAUUAGAUACCCGAGUAGUC